AUGAUUGUAUAAGUUGAAUUUUUUUAUUAUUCAGAUUGAUAUUUUAAAAAAAAAAUCAUGUAUAGACAUUGAGAUUUAUACAAUCUAGCUUGAAUGUCAUGCAUGUUGAGGAAAUUGACAGACUUGAAAAAAGAGUCAAAUUGAUUUAUUAUUGUAGUUUUAUUAUUAAACCUGCAAGGAAAGUUGCAGAAUGCUAGACAUAGGGCUACUAAUUAGAGGGCAGCAGUGUAAACUUGUAUUUGUAUUUUUAUAAGCAAUGGACAACAAAUAUUUGAUGCACUGAAUGAUUAUAAGG
This 295-nucleotide long non-coding RNA is filed under the name Mytilus galloprovincialis (Mediterranean mussel). The record is from RNAcentral. Lineage: Eukaryota; Metazoa; Mollusca; Bivalvia; Mytilida; Mytilidae.